UCCCGCCGCCGCGGGCACCGCCGGGCCGGCAGCGGCGGGUCCGGGCUCGCGGCGGUUCCCCGUAGCGCGGUGCUGACGCUGCAGCUCUUGCCAGCGUUUGCCCGAAAGGCUGAGAUUUGGAACCGAGGCAGCAGCCAGCGUUACCCUCGCACUGCGAAGAGCAAAGCCCUUAGAAGUGCACACGAGGAGGAUCUAUUUUGAUAACUUCUGAGUCCACAAGUGAAGACAAAUGUGGAUUUGUCCGUCUGUUCCUGCUUUAUAUUAAGUGCAUGGACCUAACAACCCUCAGGGUGUUGUUACCGAACGAUACAAUAAGUACCCAGCACGAGCUCUGAACCUCCGAACCAGACAGAAUGACUGCUCCCUCCCAAGGGCUAAUGCAGAGCACUAUCUCUCCCCCCCACCUCCUCCCUUUGCCAAUGAACAGCUCAGAGGCACACACCAAUGCUUUCUCAGCAACGUAGGAGGAAGUUGUUGGGCUGCUGCAGAGGAGAGGAGCAGAUCUUCCCACACAGAUCUGUGCAUCAGAGAGCUGACACCAGAUCUGUUCUGAAGAAUUGCAGAGUGAGGAGUCUCCCUUCUCAUUAUACUGCAGUAUUAUCUGAAGUCUUUCAUAGUCUAUGUAACAAAUGUGGCUAUGUACAAAAAAUUAAAUAAAAAACAAUGUACUCAG
Long non-coding RNA from Numida meleagris (helmeted guineafowl), 673 nucleotides. RefSeq lists it as uncharacterized. The record is from RefSeq and is a predicted model, not a curated record. NCBI's taxonomy places the organism in Eukaryota, Metazoa, Chordata, Aves, Galliformes, Numididae. The transcript has 2 exons.